CUCCCUCUGCUCCAUGCACUCCCUGCUUCUCCUCUGCCCCAGGCACUCCCUGCUUCUCCUCUGCCCCAGGCUCUCAAUGGUCCUCCUCUGCCCCAGGCUCUCAAUGGUCCUCCUCUGCCCCAGGCUCUCAAUGGUCCUCUGCCCCAGGCUCUCAAUGGUCCUCCUCUGUCCCAGGCUCUCAAUGGUCCUCCUCUGUCCCAGGCUCUCAAUGGUCCUCCUCUGUCCCAGGCUCUCAAUGGUCCUCCUCUGUCCCAGGCUCUCAAUGGUCCUCCUCUGUCCCAGGCUCUCUCUGCUAAUCCUCUGUCCCACACUCUCUCUGCUAAUCCUCUGCCCCAUGCUUUCUCUGAUGCUCCUCUACCCCAGGCUCCCACUGCUUCUCACUUUACAUAUAGACACACUGACACAAAUGUAGAUACACAGACAGUUACACGGACACAUGUGCAGAUACACAGAUACAAACAGACAUGAACACACAAACUCACACAAAGACACUGAUAUGCACACUGACACACAUACAGAUGUACAGACGCACAAAUCCAAGAUAUGGCACACUCACAGAGAUACAGAUACACACACUGACACACAUGCAAAUACAUAUACAGAAAAUCACACAAAGACACAGAUACAAACAAUUAUACUGAUGGACAGAUACAUAGUUACAAACACUGACACACAUACAGUUGCACAGACACACAAAUACACACUGACACACAUACAGAUGUACAGACUACACAGAUCCAAGCAAUGACACUCACACAGAUACAGAUACAAACACUCACACGCAUGCAGAUACAAACACUGACACAUACAGAUGCACAGACACACUGAUACACAUACUGACAAACAUGCAGAUACACAGAUUCAAAACACUGCCACACAUUCAGUUGCACAGACACACCGAUACAUAUCCUGCCACACAUACAGAUAUAAACAUUAACAUAACAAUACACAGCCACACAAAUACAAUGACACACAUGCAGAUACACAGACACACAGAAAUACACAGACACACACACUCACACAUAUACACAUGUACAGAUACAAACACACAUUCAGAUACACACACUGACACACAUGCAGAUAGACUCACAUGAUGACAUGUAGAUAUACAGACACACAUGCAGUUACAAAUGCACACUGAUGCACACACACUGACACACAUACAGAUGUACAGAUACACACUGCCACAAAUGCAGACACGCAUACAGAUUUAUAGACACACAAAUACAAACAUUGACACAAAUACAGAUACAAAUACAUACACUGGAACACAUACAGAUGUACAGAUAUACACACUGGCACACAUACAGAUGUACAGGUACAAACACUGAAAUGCAUGCAGAUGCACAGACACAUUGAUACACAUGCAGAUGCACAGAUCCAAAACUGACAGACAUACAGUUGCACAGACACACUGAUACACGCACCAACACAUUAGGAUACAUAGAUACAAACACUGACACAUACAGAUACAGACACAGUUACAAACACUGACACAUACAGAUACAGACACAGUUACAAACACUGACACACAUGCAGAUACACAGACACACACAAUGACACAUGUAGAUACACAGAUGCAAAUACUGACACACAUACAGGUGCAAAGAUACACAUAUAGUUGCUAAGACACACUGAUACACAUACUGACAUAUGCAGAUACACAAAUACGAACACUGAAACACAAACGCAGAUACAGAUACAAACAGUGGCACAGAUACACAUACUGACACAUACAGAUGUACAGACACACACUUCCAUGCCAGAUACGCAGACACAGAUGUACAGACACACACUGAUGCACAUACAGAUACACACACAUAGAUACACAUACUGACACAUACAGAUGUACAGACACACACACUUCCAUACAUGCAAAUACAGACACAGAUACAAACACUGACACACAUACAGUUGCAAACACACAGACGCAAACACAGACACAUACAAUUGCACACUGACACACAUCCAGAUAUACAGACACCCACAUUGACACACAUAAAGAUAUACAGACACACAGCUACAAACAAUGGGACACAUACAGAAACACAGAUACACUGACGCACACUGAGACAUAGAGGCGCACCAAGAGCAUUUGGCACCCGGGUCAAAUCCAUUGUAUUUGGCACACGGGGCGAAUCCAUUGUAUUUGGCAACCCCUCCAACUCCCCCCACCCACUUUAAAAUGCAAAAAACACCCACAAUUUUGUUUUUAACAGGUUCAAG
Molecule: long non-coding RNA, 2226 nt
Filed under: Pelobates cultripes (western spadefoot toad)
Lineage: Eukaryota; Metazoa; Chordata; Amphibia; Anura; Pelobatidae
Source: RNAcentral